AUGGAGUACAAGAAUAAGCACGUCCUCGCCCCAAUGGUCCGAGUGGGCACUUUACCAUUCAGAUUACUUGCUGCACAAUAUGGUGCAGACAUUACUUAUGGGGAAGAAAUAAUAGAUCAUAAAAUGAUCAAGUGUGAUCGACACAUUAAUGAAUAUCUUGGGACCACUGAUUUUGUUGAGAGAGGGACACAAAAUGUUGUUUUUAGAACAUGCCCUGAAGAAAGGAAUCGAGUUGUAUUCCAAAUGGGUACAUCGAAUGCUGUGAGGGCACUUACUGCUGCACAAUUAGUGUCCAAAGAUGUAGCAGCCAUAGAUAUUAACAUGGGCUGCCCGAAGUCAUUUUCGAUUAGCGGAGGAAUGGGUGCUGCCUUGCUAUCUAAACCAGAACUUAUUCAUGAUAUAAUCACUACAUUGAAACGGAACCUAGACAACACAAUAACAUGCAAGAUUCGUCUACUCAAGUCGUCAGAGGUCACAGUUGAAUUGGCUCGACGAAUUGAAAAGGCUGGUGUUUCUGCUCUGGCUGUUCAUGGAAGAAGGGUUCCAGAUAGGCCCAGAGAUCCUGCAAAAUGGGAUGAGAUUGCUGAUGUUGUAGCAGCAUUGUCAAUUCCUGUUAUAGCUAAUGGUGAUGUUUUUGAAUAUGAAGAUUUUGAACGUAUUAAAGGUGCUACAGGAGCCACAUGUGUCAUGGUGGCUAGAGGUGCGCUAUGGAAUGCUUCUAUUUUUUCCCCUAGCAAGUCAUCCUGGGAGGAUGUCAAAAGAGAGUAUGUACGACAGUGCAUCUUGUGGGACAAUGAUGUGAAAAGCACAAAACACACUUUGAAGGAAAUGAUAGCACACUAUUCUUCUCUAGAAUUGCCAGAAGGAAAGGCAGUGAUUAAAUCUGCGAAUACAGAAAAUGUGGCGUAAGUUUCUUCUUUGGUUUUGAUAUCAAUUCCUGGAGUGCAGCGCAUAAUCAAUUAAUCUCGACAGUGCACUUUAAGGUUGAUGAUUCAGAUGUAUUUUUAUUGCCACCUUGUUCUUUUAAACAGCAUGGUGUAAUGCAUUAGGUGCAGGUGGACUAACUCUUUCAUGUCCUGAAAAUUGAACAAGAGAAUGAAACACUUCAAGACAAUGACAAAGUUCAUCAGCCAUACUUUGUCUGCAUUGGUAAAAGUGAUCAUCUUCUGAGGAAGGUGGUAUGUAUUACCGGUGGCAGUAAAUCUCUGCCAUCUUGAACCAUGAAGCUGCCUGAGAUAUAAACAUGAAGUAACUGAAGUCUUAGUGUAAAUUCUCUUGGAUUAUAAUGGAUCUCAAACACUAAGAAGACAUUCAAACAUCAUAUUGAGUUGUGAUUUCCACUAGGAAGAUUAUUUUUACUAAGAACUCAUAAAAUUUUGUCCAAGAGCUGUUUCAAUAUGCUGAGAAAUAUGGGAAGGCAAAAGGCUAUAUUAACAAUUCCAAGUGAGGAAUUGUAGGAGGGUAGCUACUGUUGCUCUAGGUUAGGCAUUGAAGAAAGUUAUGAGGAAGAUUUGAUUAGAUGAUCGGAAAGCAAAUGCAAAUUUUAAUACUUUUUAAAAUCACAUUAAAAAUAUAUAUAUAUAUAUAUGAUGAAUGAUUUGAUGCUAGUAUUAUUACAUUGAAUAUAUUUUUUAGUUGUGUGCAAUUCCACAUGGUUAUUUGUUUGGAUGCGAGAGGUCUAUGCAUUUUACGACAUCAUUAAUGACUGGUAACUCAUGAGAGCACUUCCUGAUUUUCCUUUCUAUGUUCUGACUUACGAAUUUUUUAUUUCCUUUACUGAAUUAUAUGGUUUCAUGUGGUGCUUAAUAGCAAUUUUACAGGUUUGUUAUAUUGGUUUAAUUCUUUCCAUUAGUCUCAUUUUGGUUGACCGUCUGAGUAAUUAACUUAUGUUGUAA
Molecule: RNA transcript, 1895 nt
Organism: Dioscorea cayenensis subsp. rotundata (Guinea yam)
Lineage: Eukaryota; Viridiplantae; Streptophyta; Magnoliopsida; Dioscoreales; Dioscoreaceae
Gene name: tRNA-dihydrouridine(20) synthase [NAD(P)+]-like
Exons: 9
Source: RefSeq, a predicted model, not a curated record